This 253-nucleotide ribosomal RNA is filed under the name uncultured bacterium. Its description in RNAcentral is "partial 16S ribosomal RNA". It matches the Rfam family "Bacterial small subunit ribosomal RNA", at positions 524 to 776 of the family's 1533-position model. The record is from RNAcentral.
UACAGAGGGUGCAAGCGUUGUUCGGAAUUAUUGGGCGUAAAGCGCGCGUAGGCUGCGGGGCAAGUCGGGUGUGAAAUCUCAGAGCUCAACUCUGAAACUGCACUCGAUACUGCUUUGCUUGAGGACUGGAGAGGAGAUUGGAAUUCACGGUGUAGCAGUGAAAUGCGUAGAUAUCAUGAGGAAGACCAGUGGCGAAGGCGGAUCUCUGGACAGUUCCUGACGCUGAGGCGCGAAGGCCAGGGGAGCAAACGGG